GCGAAUUGAAAGCUAAGCAGUGAUAAUUCUAAAGAUUCCCGGGGGGAAGCAAUGACGGUAUCUGGGGAAUAAGCAUCGGCUAACUCUGUGCCAGUAGCCGCGGUAAUACAGAGGAUGC
Molecule: small RNA, 118 nt
Filed under: Helianthus annuus (common sunflower)
Lineage: Eukaryota; Viridiplantae; Streptophyta; Magnoliopsida; Asterales; Asteraceae
Description: Bacterial small subunit ribosomal RNA
Source: RNAcentral